Molecule: ribosomal RNA, 573 nt
Filed under: Clupea harengus (Atlantic herring)
Lineage: Eukaryota; Metazoa; Chordata; Actinopteri; Clupeiformes; Clupeidae
Description: partial 16S ribosomal RNA
Rfam family: Bacterial large subunit ribosomal RNA
Source: RNAcentral
CGCCUCCUGACCACACCACAUAGGAGGUCCCGCCUGCCCAGUGACCAAAAGUUUAACGGCCGCGGUAUUUUAACCGUGCAAAGGUAGCGCAAUCAAUUGUCUUUUAAAUGAAGACCUGUAUGAAUGGCAUAACGAGGGUUUAACUGUCUCUUUCUCCUGGUCAGUGAAACUGAUCUACCCGUGCAGAAGCGGGUAUGAAUAUACAAGACGAGAAGACCCUAUGGAGCUUUAGACGCCCACCAAUCACGAAAAGCAGGUCUCGCUCAACAGACUUCCAAACAACCUGAUACUGGCACAAACGUCUUCGGUUGGGGCGACCGCGGGAGAGAAAAAAGCUCCCGAGAGGAUUGGGGCUACCCUAAAACCAAGAGCUACACCUCUAAGUCACAAAACAUUUGACCAAAAAUGAUCCGGCUACAUGCCGAUUAACGAACCAAGUUACCCUAGGGAUAACAGCGCAAUCCCUUCCCAGAGUCCAUAUCGACGAAGGGGUUUACGACCUCGAUGUUGGAUCAGGACAUCCUAAUGGUGCAGCCGCUAUUAAGGGUUCGUUUGUUCAACGAUUAAAGUCCU